UACGUAGGGCGCAAGCGUGUCCGGAAUCACUGGGCGUAAAGAGCGUGUAGGCGGUCUGCCAAGUCUGUUGUGAAAGCGCCUGGCUUAACUGGGCGAGGUCGACGGAAACUGGCAAACUGGAGGCCGUAGAGGAGGGUGGAAUUCCCGGUGUAGUGGUGAAAUGCGUAGAGAUCGGGAGGAACACCCAGUGGCGAAGGGCGGCCCCU
Molecule: ribosomal RNA, 206 nt
Filed under: uncultured bacterium
Lineage: Bacteria
Description: partial 16S ribosomal RNA
Rfam family: Bacterial small subunit ribosomal RNA
Source: RNAcentral